UUUGAAAUCAGUCUCAUGUGAACGGAGACCAAGAUCAGAGAGCCCACAGAAGACCUGGUUACUAUCCUUCAGUGUUUCUGCAGCAAAGGUUGCAGUCUUCUGCAAACCAUGUGAGCAGGCCUUUGAAGGAGAGCCCUCACUGUGCAGAAGAUGAAAAAAAAUCAGCCAUCCUUUGCCAAGUUAUCUGCAUUAUCAGUGAUAAGCCAGGAAUGAAGAUUUCACAGCUUUAUUUCAUCACAAUUCUAAAAAUAAGUCACAGUGAAAUGUAAGCUACUGAAAAACGCAUUAUGAGGCCACCCUCUCACGGCCAUGUGCUUUUAACCUGGAGACAAGGGAGGGAAACUGAAGGCAAAGAUGUCCAGGAUCUUGGGGCCGGAAAGGACCCAAAAGAUGAUUGGCCCCCAUUUCCUCAUUUAUUGAGACCUGGCCAUAAAGAUGCAUGUGACUUUCUGGUGUUAGAACUCAAAUUCCAAAAUUCUAGUUCUGAGUUCCAUCCACUUUGCCAGGUUCUCUCUUUCUUUGUGGGAAGCUUUGUAACAGAGGGACUCCCUGUGGAUCCACAGGACUGGACAACUGACUCUGCGUCUGCUCAGGGAAAGCCCUCCACGCCUCCCAGGUUUCAUCAGGCACUGCGCUGGGUCCUGGGAAUAGAGCAAGCUGCAAUGCCCGCCCUGAUUCCUGUUGGUGGAGCUCACACCUCAUUAGGGAAGACCAGUGUCCGGCAAAGAAUCGUCCACCAGGGCAGAGACCAAGCUUCUGUCGCCUGGAAAGGGUGGUGUUUGUGUUUUUUUUUUUUUUAGCCAAAGAACUGUGGGAAAAAGCAGGAUCAUUUCAAUAAAAUGGGAUUGCCAUAGCAGAACUGGCCAUGGAUAUAAAGCCUUGGAUUUUUUCUUUUUUAAGUCAGUGAAAGGAAAACCGUGUUUCCCACAUAUGGGCCUUUCGUGAUGGUUAGCGCCUGCAGAGUGGGCUUUAGUGUCUCUUAUUUCCUUUCCUUUCCUCUUUGCUUAAUUACGCAGUAAAUUUUGUCUUAGGGGCCACUGUGGGAAUGCAACUCAUCGGGGCUAGAGUGAGAUUAGUGUCCUGGCUAGUGGGAUAUCAGGAUUAUUCCUAUUGGUGUUUGGAGAACACAGUGAGAAGCAGAAGAAAUCCAGCUCAGGGGGGUUUAGUCUCUGCAACAGAGAGACACUGGGGUCAGCUUGCUGUUUGCUCGGAGCUUCUUUUCCCUCCUACUGUGGGCCUUCACAGAAAGUUCUCUGUGGGAUCCCUGAGACUCCAGUGUCCCAUUAACAACAGGAGUCUGGAGAGUUUCCAUAUCAGACAGGGUUCCCUGGCAAAGAGCAAAGUCUGCUCUGGUGAGUUUAAGCAGAGGGUUUAUCACCUAGGUUACAUGACUCCCAGCAUCCUCAGUGGGACAGAAGAAAUUGAAGAAGUUCUAGGCUGAGCUGACAUUGAAGAAACUCCAGGAACUUCUCCCAAAGUCACAGUGCAGAAAUGGCCACUGAGGCUCUGUAGGGCUGUCAUCAUCAGAAAGCCACCUGCCAUCUCAGCGAGGAGUCCGCGAGUUCAGCUCUGUCCACCACAGCACGAGGCAUGCGUUGCACCCUGCUCUCCCCCUACGUCAGUCUGGUCCUUCCUUGUGAUAAGAUCUGCGCUGAGAGAGACGAAACUAUUUUUAAUUUUACUCCCUAUGGAAGGAGCACUUUUCAGACAGCAUUUCCAGCUUUAUCCCUGACCAGG
RNAcentral lists this long non-coding RNA (1737 nucleotides) under Capra hircus (goat). Its description in RNAcentral is "lncRNA (ENSCHIG00000001812.1)". The record is from RNAcentral. Lineage: Eukaryota; Metazoa; Chordata; Mammalia; Artiodactyla; Bovidae.